UGCUGGAGGUAUCAGAAGUGCGAAUGCUGACAUAAGUAACGAUAAAGCGGGUGAAAAGCCCGCUCGCCGGAAGACCAAAGGGUUCCUGUCCAACGUUAAUCGGGGCAGGGUGAGUCGACCCCUAAGGCGAGGCCGAAAGGCGUAGUCGAUGGGAAACAGGUUAAUAUUCCUGUACUUGGUGUUACUGCGAAGGGGGGACGGAGAAGGCUAUGUUAGCCGGGCGACGGUUGUCCCGGUUUAAGCAUGUAGGCUGAUUGUCCAGGCAAAUCCGGAUAAUCAAGGCUGAGGUGUGAUGACGAGGCACUACGGUGCUGAAGUAACAAAUGCCCUGCUUCCAGGAAAAGCCUCUAAGCAUCAGGUAACAU
RNAcentral lists this ribosomal RNA (365 nucleotides) under Klebsiella pneumoniae. RNAcentral's name for it is "bacterial LSU rRNA". It matches the Rfam family "Bacterial large subunit ribosomal RNA", at positions 1271 to 1637 of the family's 2925-position model. Lineage: Bacteria; Pseudomonadati; Pseudomonadota; Gammaproteobacteria; Enterobacterales; Enterobacteriaceae. The record is from RNAcentral.